AGCGAACGCUGGCGGCGUGCUUAACACAUGCAAGUCGAACGCGAAAGGGACUUCGGUCCUGAGUAAAGUGGCGCACGGGUGAGUAACGCGUAGAUAACCUGUCUUCAUGUCUGGAAUAAUACGCCGAAAGGGGUACUAAUACCGGAUAUUCUUGCUUUUCAUAAGUUAUGCAAGCAAAGGUGGCCUCUGCAUAUGCUACUGCAUGAAGAGGGGUCUGCGUACCAUUAGCUAGUAGGUGGGGUAAUGGCCUACCUAGGCGACGAUGGUUAUCGGGUCUGAGAGGAUGAUCCGCCACACUGGCACUGGAACACGGGCCAGACUCCUACGGGAGGCAGCAGUGAGGAAUAUUGCGCAAUGGGGGAAACCCUGACGCAGCGACGCCGCGUGAGUGAGGAAGGCCUUCGGGUCGUAAAGCUCUGUCAAGAGGAAAGAAGUGUACAAUGGCUAAUACCUGUUGUAUUUGACGGUACCUCUAAAGGAAGCACCGGCUAACUCCGUGCCAGCCGCCGC
This 510-nucleotide ribosomal RNA is filed under the name uncultured bacterium. RNAcentral's name for it is "bacterial SSU rRNA". It matches the Rfam family "Bacterial small subunit ribosomal RNA", at positions 29 to 518 of the family's 1533-position model. The record is from RNAcentral.